GUCCACGCCGUAAACGAUGAGUGCUAGGUGCUGUGGGUAUUGACCCCCGCGGUGCCGCAGCCAACGCGUUAAGCACUCCGCCUGGGGAGUACGGCCGCAAGGCUAAAACUCAAAGGAAUUGACGGGGGCCCCGCACAAGCGGUGGAGCAUGUGGUUCAAUUCGACGCAACGCGCAGAACCUUACCUGGGUUAAAUCCACUAGAAUCUGGUAGAGAUAUCGGGGUGCCCUUCGGGGAACUAGUGAGAAGGUGCUGCAUGGCUGUCGU
This 266-nucleotide ribosomal RNA is filed under the name uncultured bacterium. RNAcentral describes it as "partial 16S ribosomal RNA". It matches the Rfam family "Bacterial small subunit ribosomal RNA", at positions 793 to 1055 of the family's 1533-position model. The record is from RNAcentral.